This 500-nucleotide ribosomal RNA is filed under the name uncultured bacterium. RNAcentral's name for it is "partial 16S ribosomal RNA". It matches the Rfam family "Bacterial small subunit ribosomal RNA", at positions 30 to 523 of the family's 1533-position model. The record is from RNAcentral.
AUUGAACGCUGGCGGCAUGCCUUACACAUGCAAGUCGAACGGCAGCACGGGAGCAAUCCUGGUGGCGAGUGGCGAACAGGUGAGUAAAGUAUCGGAACGUGCCCAGUCGUGGGGGAUAACGUAGCGAAAGUUACGCUAAUACCGCAUACGAUCUAUGGAUGAAAGCGGGGGAUCGCAAGACCUCGCGCGAUUGGAGCGGCCGAUAUCAGAUUAGGUGGUUGGUGGGGUAAAGGCUCACCAAGCCGACGAUCUGUAGCUGGUCUGGGAGGACGACCAGCCACACUGGGACUGAGACGCGGCCCGGACUCCUACGGGAGGCAGCAGUGGGGAAUUUUGGACAAUGGGCGAAAGCCUGAUCCAGCCAUGCCGCGUGCAGGAUGAAGGCCUUCGGGUUGUAAACUGCUUUUGUACGGAACGAAAAGGUUUGGCCUAAUAAGCUGAGCUCAUGACGGUACCGUAAGAAUAAGCACCGGCUAACUACGUGCCAGCAGCCGCCGUAA